GAUGAACGCUGGCGGCGUGCCUAACACAUGCAAGUCGAACGGAAAGGCGCUGCUCUUGUGGGGUGCUCGAGAGGCGAACGCGUGAGUAUCACGUGUGUAACCUGUCCCUGUCUUUGGGAUAACUUUAGGAAACUGGGGCUCAUAUAGGAUAGGAGCUCCUGCUGCACGGUGGGGGAUGGAGAGUUUCGGUGGUUGUGGCUCGACUCGCGGCUUCUCAGCUUGUUGGUGGGGUAGUGGCUUACCAAGGCUUUGACGGGUAGCCGGCCUGAGAGGGUGACCGGCCACAAUGGGACUGAGAGACGGCCCAGACGCCUACGGGACGCAGCAGUGGGGAGUAUUGCGCAAUGGGGGGAAGCCUGAGGCAACAACGCCGCGUGCGUGAUGACGGCCUUCGGGUUGUAAACCACUUUCGCCGGUAACGAAGCGUGAGUGACGGUAAUUGGUAAAAAAGCACCGGCUAACUACGUG
RNAcentral lists this ribosomal RNA (468 nucleotides) under uncultured bacterium. RNAcentral describes it as "partial 16S ribosomal RNA". It matches the Rfam family "Bacterial small subunit ribosomal RNA", at positions 28 to 507 of the family's 1533-position model. The record is from RNAcentral.